GAGGGUAUCGCUCAAGUGGCAGAGCGCAUGCUUAGCAUGCAGGAGGUCCUGGGUCCAAUCCCCAGUAUUUCCU
This 73-nucleotide transfer RNA is filed under the name Camelus bactrianus (Bactrian camel). It matches the Rfam family "tRNA". Rfam says of the family: Transfer RNA (tRNA) molecules are approximately 80 nucleotides in length. Their secondary structure includes four short double-helical elements and three loops (D, anti-codon, and T loops). Further hydrogen bonds mediate the characteristic L-shaped molecular structure. tRNAs have two regions of fundamental functional importance: the anti-codon, which is responsible for specific mRNA codon recognition, and the 3' end, to which the tRNAs corresponding amino acid is attached (by aminoacyl-tRNA synthetases). tRNAs cope with the degeneracy of the genetic code in two manners: having more than one tRNA (with a specific anti-codon) for a particular amino acid; and 'wobble' base-pairing, i.e. permitting non-standard base-pairing at the 3rd anti-codon position. Lineage: Eukaryota; Metazoa; Chordata; Mammalia; Artiodactyla; Camelidae. RNAcentral also lists the same sequence under 2 other names. The record is from Rfam by way of RNAcentral.